GCGAGGGCUUCACCGCCUAUCAAGUCUUGACAAACUCCGAAUACUAUCACUUGAUCUUUGGGAGUGAGGGCAUGGGUGCUAAGGUCCAUGUCCGAAAGAGGAACAACUCAGACCACCAGCUAAGGUCCCGAAAUAAGGGCUAAGUUGAAUAAACGAAGUAAAACUGCAAAGACAGCUAGGAUGUUGGCUUGGAAGCAGCCAUUCAUUUAAAGAGUGCGUAACAGCUCACUAGUCGAGGAGUUUUGCAUGGAUAAUAAUCGGGCAUAAGCCCUUUACCGAAGCUGUGGAUGUCGUAAGACAUGGUAGGGGAGCAUUCCGGCGGCGACGAAGGCCGUCCUCGAGGACGACUGGAGCUUUCGGAAAAGCAAAUGUAGGUAUAAGUAACGAUAAAGGGGGCGUGAAACCCCCUCGCCAUAAGACUAAGGAUUCCUGAUCAACGCUAAUCGGAUCAGGGUAAGUCGGGCCCUAAGGCGCAGCCGAACGGCGUAGCCGAUGGAAGAAACGGUAAAGAUUCCGUUACUGGAUAUAGGAGCGAUGUGGAGACGGAGAAGUGACACACCCGCCUGCCGACGGAAGCGCAGGUUAAAGGAAGUAGGUAAACGCCGGGUAGGCAAAUCCGCCUGGCGUGCCGAAACUGACAGUAUCGAGAGCCCCCGGGCAAUCGAAUAGCGGUGGUAAUCAGGCUCCCAAGAAAAUCCGCUAAGCAUAUUCUAUAUCCACCCGUACCCCAAACGGACACACGUAGUCGGGUAGAAUAUACCAAGGCGCUCGAAAGACUCACGGUUAAGGAACUAGGCAAAUUGACCCUGUAACCUCGGGAAAAAGGGUCCCCAGUAAGAUGGGGCGCAGAGAAUAGGUCCAGGCAACUGUUUAACAAAAACACAGGGCUGUGCGAAAUUUCAAGAUGAAGUAUACAGCCUGACACCUGCCCGGUGCCGGAAGGUUAAGAGGAGAGCUAAUCGCAAGAGAAGGCUUGAAUUGAAGCCCCGGUAAACGGCGGCCGUAACUAUAACGGUCCUAAGGUAGCGAAAUUCCUUGUCGGGUAAGUUCCGACCUGCACGAAUGGUGUAAUGAUCUGGACACUGUCUCAACCGUGACUUCGGUGAAAUUGUAGUAUCGGUGAAGAUGCCGAUUACCCGCAACGGGACGAAAAGACCCCGUGAACCUUUACUGCAACUUAGCAUUGCGUUUGGGCAUUUGAUGUGUAGGAUAGUCCGGAGGCUACGAGUCGGCGACGCCAGUCGUCGAGGAGCCGCUGUUGAAAUACGGACCUUCGAAUGUUUGAGCGCUAACUCGCAGGAGCGAGGACACUGUUUGGUGGGUAGUUUGACUGGGGUGGUCGCCUCCAAAAGCGUAACGGAGGCUUCUAAAGGUACCCUCAGACCGAUUGGUAACCGGUCGGAGAGUGUAAUGGCACAAGGGUGCUUGACUGAGAGACCCACAAGUCGAUCAGGUAGGAAACUAGAGCAUAGUGAUCCGGUG
RNAcentral lists this ribosomal RNA (1482 nucleotides) under human gut metagenome. RNAcentral describes it as "bacterial LSU rRNA". It matches the Rfam family "Bacterial large subunit ribosomal RNA", at positions 920 to 2425 of the family's 2925-position model. The record is from RNAcentral.